AGAGUUUGAUCCUGGCUCAGGACGAACGCUGGCGGCGUGCCUAAUACAUGCAAGUCGAACGCUCUCGACCUUCGGGUCAUAUGAGAGAGUGGCGAACGGGUGCGUAACACGUGAGAAACCUGCCCUAAAGACGGGAAUAACUCGAGGAAACUCGUGCUAAUACCCGAUACCCUCCUUGGACCGCAUGGUCUGUUGAGGAAAUGCUCCGGCGCUUUAGGAGGGUCUCGCGGCCUAUCAGCUUGUUGGUGAGGUAACGGCUCACCAAGGCAUCGACGGGUAGCUGGUCUGAGAGGACGAUCAGCCACACUGGGACUGAGACACGGCCCAGACUCCUACGGGAGGCAGCAGUAGGGAAUCUUGCGCAAUGGGCGAAAGCCUGACGCAGCAACGCCGCGUGGGGGAUGAAGGCCUUCGGGUCGGAAACCCCUUUCAGCAGGGACGAAAAUGACGGUACCUGCAGAAGAAGCCCCGGCCAACUACGUGCCAGCAGCCGCGGUAACACGUAGGGGGCAAGCGUUAUUCGGAAUCACUGGGCUUAAAGCGUGCGUAGGCGGAUGUGAAGGCGUCCUGUGAAAUCCCUCGGCUCAACCGAGGAACUGCAGGGCGAACCAUACAUCUUGAGACAGGUAGGGGUCGUCGGAACGAUAGGUGGAGUGGUGAAAUGCGUUGAUAUCAAUCGGAACGCCGAAGGAGAAGUCAGGCGACUGGGUCUGUUCUGACGCUGAGGUACGAAAGCGUGGGUAGCGAACGGGAUUAGAUACCCCGGUAGUCCACGCCGUAAACGAUGUGCACUAGGUUGGGGACGUACUGACACGUUUCCUGGCCGAAGCGAAAGUGUUAAGUGCACCGCCUGGGGAGUACGGUCGCAAGGCUAAAACUCAAAGGAAUUGACGGGGGCUCACACAAGCGGUGGAGCAUGUGGCUUAAUUCGAAGCAACGCGAAGAACCUUAUCCUGGGUUUGACAUGUAUGGAUUAACUCCGUGAAAGCGGAGCCACGCCUUCGGGUGGAACAUGCACAGGCGCUGCAUGGCUGUCGUCAGCUCGUGCUGUGAAGUGUCGGGUUAAGUCCCUUAACGAGCGCAACCCCUAUCCUUAGUUGCUAACAGGUAAUGCUGAGAACUCUAGGGAGACUGCCGGUGUUAAACCGGACGAAGGUGGGGAUGACGUCAAGUCCGCAUGGCCUUUAUGCCCAGGGCUGCACACGUGCUACAAUGGCAGGUACAGAGCGACGCAAGACCGCGAGGUGGAGCAAAUCGCGAAAGCCUGCCCCAGUUCGGAUUGCAGGCUGCAACUCGCCUGCAUGAAGUUGGAAUCGCUAGUAAUCGGGGAUCAGCACGCCCCGGUGAAUACGUUCCUUAGCCUUGUACACACCGCCCGUCAAGUCAUGGAAGCUGGCAGCGCCCGAAGUCGCCACGAUUCAGUGGUGCCCACGGCGAGGCUGGUGACUGGGACUAAGUCGUAACAAGGUAGCC
This 1473-nucleotide ribosomal RNA is filed under the name uncultured prokaryote. RNAcentral's name for it is "partial 16S ribosomal RNA". It matches the Rfam family "Bacterial small subunit ribosomal RNA". The record is from RNAcentral.